CCUACGGGAGGCAGCAGUGGGGAAUAUUGCGCAAUGGGGGCAACCCUGACGCAGCAACGCCGCGUGAUUGAAGAAGGCCUUCGGGUUGUAAAGAUCUUUAAUCGGGGACGAAUUUUGAUGGUACCCGAAGAAUAAGCUCCGGCUAACUACGUGCCAGCAGCCGCGGUAAUACGUAGGGAGCAAGCGUUAUCCGGAUUUACUGGGUUGAAAGGGCGGGUAGGCGGGCAUGCAAGCCAGAAGUGAAAUCUUGGGGCUUAAACCCAAAAUUGCUUUUGGAAUUGGGUGUCUUGAGUGAGGGAGGGGCAGGCGGAAUUCCCAGUGUAGCGGUGAAAUGCGUAGAUAUUGGGAGGAACACCAGUGGCGAAGGCGGCCUGCUGGACAUUAACUGACGCUGAGGCGCGAAAGCGUGGGGAGCAAACAGGAUUAGAUACCCCAGUAGUC
Molecule: ribosomal RNA, 441 nt
Filed under: uncultured bacterium
Lineage: Bacteria
Description: partial 16S ribosomal RNA
Rfam family: Bacterial small subunit ribosomal RNA
Source: RNAcentral